CGCUACAAAAUGUAAACCGAGUGUAAAUUCACCGGAGAGCGACGUGUUUCCAUGAUCGCGUCUGGUUUUACAGUAUUAUAGUAUCAAAGUAUUUUUCUAGACAAAGUAUUCCCAGCAGGUUAUUUCAGUGUACAGUUUAAUGUAAAUUGUCUUCCACACGGCACAUUACAAUGUCACGAAACUAAUAUUAAAUUAAUCGAGCCUGCCGUUUUCCAGCUUUUACUCUUUAUUGCGUCGACUGCAGAUCAGUGACAAGUAGCGUACAGAACGGAGCUGGGCAAGUGGCUCCUCCUACUUUGCGCGCUCUCGUGGAUGGGGAAACAAUUUUUGACGGGGGUAACUACUUUGGCACAACACCGGCUUUGUUACCCUCUAGUCUCCGUGUACUUCAGAUACAUGUAUUUAUGCUGUUUUUAUGCGUAAUAAAAGGAAUAAAACACUAAUCUUGGCACGUCGCCUCCAGCAGGAAGUGAUCCGCUCAGCAGGCACUGCUCUCGUUAGCUACCAGGUUCAUUUGACGGGGAAAGAAAAAUGAGCCAGAAACAGCAGAAAACGACAUCCGUCCCCACAGUCUGUGCGGUCAGGGAGAUAGCGACCUUAGAGAGUUGAUACCCAGGCAUAUGUACACGCCGCAGUUUGGAAACAACAUCUGCACUUCAGGUACGCUGGAUUCUUCUGAUACUCACUUAAAUGUGUCCCUGGUGUCCAGCAGGCUGAAGAUCGACAUCUGGAGUUUCUCUCUGAAGCCUGACUUCCUCCUUGUGCUUCUGUGGCUUAUGCGGCCAUAAAUUCGUCACCAUGGCGACCAGCUGGAUUAUUGAAAGUCCCCCGUCUGACUUUCUGAGUGUUCACUGUGGCUCUGCUCUGCAGCUGGUCUCCUUUUCCACUUUGCAGUCACUUGAUGUUGAAGAGGUGAGUGUGUUAGAGGAAAUGUUAAUGUCAGGUUUAAUUUGUAUCCACUCAGAGGUCAUUUGUACCUCCUGCUGCUGCUGCUGCUGUGGUUGUAAUAAUGUAAACCCUGAUUGGUUGGAUAGUUUGAGUGACAGCUUUACUGAGGCAAAGCAGAACAGCUGCUGAUCCUGAGCUACUCUUACAAAUGGAAGUUCAGUGAAGAUCAUAUCCUCUAUUGGACCUGACUGAACAGCCAGAGCCUGAUAUUCUCUACAGUCAUGGCCAGAAGAAGCUCCAGUGUCAGAAAUGAAUCACAAAGCUCAAGUUUAUCUAUAUUUACAUGGUAAUAAAAAGUCUGUAAAGUGGUUAUCAGUGUUGGGGUCCUUAAUGCUGACUGAAAAUAGUUUCUGACCUCUUAAUGAAAAGUGCCUUUAAAACUUUUUUUUUUUUAAAUAAACAGAAAAUAUGCUUUUAAAAAUAUGACACGGAGGGUUUUAUGGAAAUAAAGUAGGUGUAUUAUUUAGCUGUAUCUGAAAAUCCUUAUCAGGUGAUUAAUUGAAUUCACCCUGUUUUGUGAACGUGUAGAUUUUCACCCUUUUUUUUUUAUUUAAAGCCAAUAAAUGUCUCGCCUUUUAAUUUGA
This is a long non-coding RNA of Oreochromis aureus, 1532 nucleotides long. RefSeq lists it as uncharacterized. The record is from RefSeq and is a predicted model, not a curated record. The transcript has 4 exons. NCBI's taxonomy places the organism in Eukaryota, Metazoa, Chordata, Actinopteri, Cichliformes, Cichlidae.